Molecule: long non-coding RNA, 1621 nt
Organism: Oryzias javanicus (javanese ricefish)
Lineage: Eukaryota; Metazoa; Chordata; Actinopteri; Beloniformes; Adrianichthyidae
Source: Ensembl
UGGGAGUACAAAUGCAAGGGAUCAAGUACUGAUUUUGUCCAAUGUAUCUUGUUUUCUUAUCAGGAGCAGUGUUGUUUGCUGUACUGGGAACCUUCGCAGCGCUCACUGUGCUGGUGCUGGCUGCAGGCUGCCGGAAGCUGAAUAUCUGCUCCACAACAAAACACCCCAGCGAUGCCUUCAGACCAGAGGUCUGCAGUCCCAGUUUCAUGACGUUGGUGUGAAACCACAGAAGGUUCAAAGCAAGAAUGAUAGCGAGAAAAAGGAAAGUAGUUUUGAGACGGGUUCUCAGAGCAGCUCUGUUAUUGGUCAACACCGAACACAGAAUCCACCAAAAUCAGGAACUCAAGAGUUUCGUGUCUAUGAAAACCUCUCCUGUUUGAGAAACACUGCAGGUUUGAGAUUCGCAAGUUGUCCACAGAAUCACAAAAGCCCAUCUUCAAUCUACAUUAAUGUUUUGCCUUAAGCAAUACCAGAUAAAAGAAGUCAUUACUGUUUGAAAUAAUGACUUUAAAAGCAUCCUCUGCAGAGAUCCACCUGUUUACUAGUCAGCAUUAUGCAGUCACUGACCUGACUAAUCAUUUACUUAUCAUGUGUGAAAUUUAAAUCCUUGGUUUGGGAUCUUUUGUAAAGAUUAAACCAAAACCUUUUGGGCCUUAAAUCCUUCUUUAGAUAUAUGUACAUGGCUUAUAGACUCAGAUACAAAGAUUGGGUCUUUACAUGUUUUCCACUUGAAAUCUUAUCAGAAAAUGGUGGGGUUGAGGGGGCUGCAACUUAAUAGAUCUUUAUCAGAAACUGACAGCACCAGGACUCCUAUGAGAGCAAUUUCAUGCGAUCAAUAAACAUGUAUCUGUAAAGCUCAUUUAAGAGCUCACAAGAAACCAGCUUUUGUUGUUUUUCAAGCAUUGUUAAGAAGUUGUCCAAUGUAUCAGUGCUCACCAUGACCUGUCACCUGCAGCAUACCUGUAAAAAAAAGACAUUUCAGAUCCUGGAUUCCCUCAGAUCUUGGAUCUCUGAGGUGUCAAUGAUCUUAAAGUAUUGUACAGACAGCCUGCAUGCCCCGUACAGGUCAGCACAUCUUCUCACCUGCAGACAGCCCGUAUCCACCUGCAGGUGUGACUGAGGCAUUAGGUCCUGGUAAAAACACGAUGAAAAUGUAUUAACAGCACAUUUGUGCAGAGGAGGCUCUUUGAGGUGGAUCCAUAAAUGUGCAAUUAAAACAAGAGAUAUCAUUGGUGUUCCAAGUUUAGCAAAGAGCUUGGCGAAACCAACAUUAAUAUGUUUAAAAACUAGUAUUAAUGUAAAUCCUCCAAUGACAUUCAUCCAAACUAAAUGCUUUUUUCACAUGUUUAUGUAAAGACGGAUCAAUAUUAUCCAGCAAUGCUUUGAUUUAGUGUAAUUCAUAUAAUUGAUGUAUUUUUCUCUGUAUUGACCUGUUGUGUUUCUCAUCGACAUUGUUCUGUCAGUAAAAUCCCUUACAUGUCAUCUGAUGACUGAAACAUUGUUGGCUGUGGACAUAGUUGUGGUUGUUUCUUGAAAUCUUCAUCAGUUUUGACUGUGAUCUUUUUCUUUUCUUUCUAUGUUAUCAAGUAUUUCGUUUGGAUUAACCAAAACCAAUGGCACU